ACUACGGCCGCUAGGCUAAAACUCCACGUAAUUGACGUGGACCCGCACAAGCGGUGGAGCAUGUGGUUUAAUUCGAUGCAACGCGAAGAACCUUACCUGGUCUUGACAUCCUUCGAACUUUCUAGAGAUAGAUUGGUGCCUUCGGGAACGCAGUGACAGGUGCUGCACGGCUGUCGUCUGCUCGUGUUGUGAAAUGUUGGGUUAAGUCCCGCAACGAGCGCAACCCCUAUUGAUAGUUACC
RNAcentral lists this ribosomal RNA (241 nucleotides) under Francisella tularensis subsp. holarctica. RNAcentral describes it as "partial 16S ribosomal RNA". It matches the Rfam family "Bacterial small subunit ribosomal RNA", at positions 879 to 1119 of the family's 1533-position model. Lineage: Bacteria; Pseudomonadati; Pseudomonadota; Gammaproteobacteria; Thiotrichales; Francisellaceae. The record is from RNAcentral.